AUGGCGGCACUCGUCACUCCAGCUGCUUCGGUGGUGUCCGAGCUGGUGGUGCGGGGCCGGGAGUCCGCCGCCGUCCUCGAGGCCCUGCUCCAGGGGGGCUCGCCGCAGGAGCACGGCGGGAUCCGGGAGCUCGCCGCGGAGAUCCUUCUCUGUUGCGACCGCGCCCUCGCCGCGCUCCACGGUCGCGACGGCGUCCAUGCGGUCGCGCUCGCCAGCAGGAAGCGCAGGUCGUCGGAGCCCGACGGCGCAGCCUCUCAGACGAGGCCGAAAAGAAGGAUGCGCGCGAGCAGCGGAUCGACGGCGACGAGGGUCGAGAAGCGAUCGACGGCGGAGGACGGGCACAUAUGGAGGAAGUACGGGCAGAAGGAGAUCACGCACAGCAAGCACCCGAGGCUCUAUUUCAGGUGCUCCUACAAGCACGACAUCGGCUGCCCGGCGACGAGGCAGGUCCAGCAGUCGGACGACGACCUCUCCCUCUACGUCAUCACCUACUUCGGCGACCACACCUGCUGCCACGGCGACGAAGCCGUCGCCGCCGCAGAGGAAAAGGACGUCAAGAUGCAGCCGUUCGUCAUCAACUUCGGGAUCGGGUCGGCCACAGAGAGCAGCACCAGCGGCUCGCCUUGGCAAAACUCUGAUGACGGUGAUGGCCGGAGCGAGAUCCCACGCUCGUCGCACGCCGUAUGCUUGCCGGAGGGAGGAGAAGCAGAUGAACUGCGACUGAAGGUGACCAAAGUUGAGACAACUUCGUUAGGCUCGCAGCCAGCGAGCCCGGCGGCGGCAGAGCUGAGCUCGUCACCCGACGUUUCCUGUGCUUCCCCAGCAUGGGAUCCUUUAUCCAGCUGCUGGGAGUGGGAUCAAUUCGUCGAGAGCUCAUUCGAUUUCGUUAGUAGAUUCAUCGAUUUCGAUGACUUUGCUUUGUACCAAUAG
Molecule: ribosomal RNA, 930 nt
Filed under: Triticum aestivum (bread wheat)
Lineage: Eukaryota; Viridiplantae; Streptophyta; Magnoliopsida; Poales; Poaceae
Description: partial small subunit ribosomal RNA
Source: RNAcentral